AUCACUAAGCGGAGGAAAAGAAACUAACAAGGAUUCCCUUAGUAGCGGCGAGCGAACCGGGAGAAGCCCAGCUUGAAAAUCGCGUCGUUCUGCGGCGCGAGUUGUAGUCUGGAGAAGUGUCCUCUGCGGCGGACCGGGCCUAAGUCCCCUGGAAAGGGGCGUCAGAGAGGGUGAGAACCCCGUCGGGCCAGGACCCUGCUGCUCCACGAGGCGCUGUCUACGAGUCGGGCUGUUUGGGAAUGCAGCCCUAAGUGGGAGGUAAAUUCCUUCCAAGGCUAAAUACGGGCGGGAGACCGAUAGCGAACAAGUACCGCGAGGGAAAGAUGAAAAGGACUUUGAAAAGAGAGUUAAAAAGUGCUUGAAAUUGCUGGGAGGGAAGCGAAUGGAGGCCUCGUGUGCGCCCCGGUCGGAUGCGGAACGGCGCGAGCUGGUCCGCCGCUCGACGCGGGGUGCUGGUCGGCGUGGGCUUCUUCGGCGGGACAAAAGUUCGCCUUUAGUGGUGGGCCGAUGCCGUCGAGGAGGCCGAGGAAUCGAAGUGCGCGUCCUCCGGGACGGGCCCUCGAAAGAGGGCACCUGCGUACUCGAGACGUCGGCGUAGUGGGCUU
RNAcentral lists this ribosomal RNA (605 nucleotides) under Asterella muscicola. Its description in RNAcentral is "eukaryotic LSU rRNA". It matches the Rfam family "Eukaryotic large subunit ribosomal RNA", at positions 42 to 640 of the family's 3401-position model. Lineage: Eukaryota; Viridiplantae; Streptophyta; Marchantiopsida; Marchantiales; Aytoniaceae. The record is from RNAcentral.